Molecule: ribosomal RNA, 253 nt
Filed under: uncultured bacterium
Lineage: Bacteria
Description: partial 16S ribosomal RNA
Rfam family: Bacterial small subunit ribosomal RNA
Source: RNAcentral
UACGAAGGGUGCAAGCGUUGUUCGGAAUCACUGGGCGUAAAGAAUGCGUAGGCGGCUUAACAAGUCGGGAGUGAAAUCCCAGGGCUCAACCCUGGAACUGCUCUCGAAACUGUUUUGCUAGAGUCCCGGAGGGGUUAGCGGAAUUCCGAGUGUAGAGGUGAAAUUCGCAGAUAUUCGGAGGAACACCAGUGGCGAAGGCGGCUAACUGGACGGGAACUGACGCUGAGGCAUGAAAGUGUGGGGAUCAAACAGG